AGACACCCUUCUGGGGCAAGACUUGCUUCAGUGGGGCUUUGGUGCUCACUGAGUCUGCCCCCUGAUUGUGUCCCU
Molecule: microRNA precursor, 75 nt
Filed under: Myotis myotis
Lineage: Eukaryota; Metazoa; Chordata; Mammalia; Chiroptera; Vespertilionidae
Also listed under: 1 other name
Description: mir-9229 microRNA precursor family
Rfam family: mir-9229 microRNA precursor family
Source: Rfam by way of RNAcentral